This 850-nucleotide ribosomal RNA is filed under the name Leuconostoc lactis. RNAcentral's name for it is "bacterial SSU rRNA". It matches the Rfam family "Bacterial small subunit ribosomal RNA", at positions 36 to 867 of the family's 1533-position model. Lineage: Bacteria; Bacillati; Bacillota; Bacilli; Lactobacillales; Lactobacillaceae. The record is from RNAcentral.
CUGGCGGCGUGCCUAAUACAUGCAAGUCGAACGCGCAGCGAAAGGUGCUUGCACCUUUCAAGCGAGUGGCGAACGGGUGAGUAACACGUGGAUAACCUGCCUCAAGGCUGGGGAUAACAUUUGGAAACAGAUGCUAAUACCGAAUAAAACUUAGUAUCGCAUGAUACAAAGUUGAAAGGCGCUACGGCGUCACCUAGAGAUGGGUCCGCGGUGCAUUAGUUAGUUGGUGGGGUAAAGGCCUACCAAGACAAUGAUGCAUAGCCGAGUUGAGAGACUGAUCGGCCACAUUGGGACUGAGACACGGCCCAAACUCCUACGGGAGGCUGCAGUAGGGAAUCUUCCACAAUGGGCGAAAGCCUGAUGGAGCAACGCCGCGUGUGUGAUGAAGGCUUUAGGGUCGUAAAGCACUGUUGUAUGGGAAGAAAUGCUAGAAUAGGGAAUGAUUCUAGUUCGACGGUACCAUACCAGAAAGGGACGGCUAAAUACGUGCCAGCAGCCGCGGUAAUACGUAUGUCCCGAGCGUUAUCCGGAUUUAUUGGGCGUAAAGCGAGCGCAGACGGUUGAUUAAGUCUGAUGUGAAAGCCCGGAGCUCAACUCCGGAAUGGCAUUGGAAACUGGUUAACUUGAGUGUUGUAGAGGUAAGUGGAACUCCAUGUGUAGCGGUGGAAUGCGUAGAUAUAUGGAAGAACACCAGUGGCGAAGGCGGCUUACUGGACAACAACUGACGUUGAGGCUCGAAAGUGUGGGUAGCAAACAGGAUUAGAUACCCUGGUAGUCCACACCGUAAACGAUGAAUACUAGGUGUUAGGAGGUUUCCGCCUCUUAGUGCCGAAGCUAACGCAUUAAGUAU